CCCCUCUCAGGGUCACACCUGGAGAGUUUCCAGUUCUCUACCAAUCUUGACUUCAUGAGGGAGAGUCAAGCAGAGGCCUGUCCAUUUCAUUCCUAGCUUAGGCAAUGGCUAGCGAGUGGAAGGCAAUCUGCUACAAGU
Molecule: small nucleolar RNA, 138 nt
Filed under: Ornithorhynchus anatinus (platypus)
Lineage: Eukaryota; Metazoa; Chordata; Mammalia; Monotremata; Ornithorhynchidae
Source: RNAcentral